This 87-nucleotide transfer RNA is filed under the name Candidatus Doriopsillibacter californiensis. RNAcentral describes it as "tRNA-Leu". It matches the Rfam family "tRNA". Rfam says of the family: Transfer RNA (tRNA) molecules are approximately 80 nucleotides in length. Lineage: Bacteria; Pseudomonadati; Pseudomonadota; Gammaproteobacteria; Candidatus Tethybacterales; Candidatus Persebacteraceae. The record is from RNAcentral.
GCCGAUGUGGUGAAAUUGGUAGACACGCUGUCUUGAGGGGGCAGUGGAGGUUACUCCGUGCCAGUUCGAGUCUGGCCAUCGGCACCA